CCCAUUUGAAGACCCAUUUCAAAGCCGCACCUUCACGCUGCAGAAGGUUUUCGUCCAUUGGUUCAAGCUGCAGAAGCUCAGCGUCCAUUGUUGAGUUCAUAUCGUCUCAUCAUGGAAAAAGGGGAAGAACACUCAUCUCCCCUAACACCAUCUAGCUCAAAUCUCCCAACCACGGGCAUACCGUCAACUUCUCUAACAUUCAGAAAUUACAUGC
This is a long non-coding RNA of Carya illinoinensis, 214 nucleotides long. RefSeq lists it as uncharacterized. The record is from RefSeq and is a predicted model, not a curated record. The transcript has 3 exons. Lineage: Eukaryota; Viridiplantae; Streptophyta; Magnoliopsida; Fagales; Juglandaceae.